This is a long non-coding RNA of Piliocolobus tephrosceles (Ugandan red Colobus), 1785 nucleotides long. RefSeq lists it as uncharacterized. The record is from RefSeq and is a predicted model, not a curated record. Lineage: Eukaryota; Metazoa; Chordata; Mammalia; Primates; Cercopithecidae. The transcript has 4 exons.
GCCUCAGUUCCUAGAGUUCCUGCCAUUGCCACACACUCUACGCCUAGUACUGUGUGGGGCACAUGGACAGCACACAGGGAGCCUGUCAUUGGGUCUCUGCUCUCCAGGAACACCUAGCAUGCAGGCGACAUCACAAAGAAAGGCAGGACUGGCUGUGGGGUGCAGUGGACUGCAAAGGGGGAGAAAGGACAGAGGCCUUUAGCAAUUAGGGGAAGUUUCACGAGGAGGAGGGGCUGACACCUGAAGCAGUGAUGAGAGUUCAACAGGCAGCAGGUGGGCGGGGAUCUGUGUCUGCAAAAGUUCAGUGGUGAAGGUUGCACCAGGAAAUCUCAAGAGACAGAAAAGAUCAACUACACUGGAGCUGGGGGCAUGUGAAGGAGAAAAAAGGGGAAAGCACGAACACAGUCCCCCACUACCACAAAUUAUGCAGUCAAGUUUCCCACAUUUGGGAAAAUCACAGGGGUCAGCACAUACGGAGUGCAAUGAAUAAGCCUGCCUGGGAAAGCGACCUUUGUGAUCAUGUAUCUCCACUGCCAGAUAAGAUUGGACUGUCUGUCUGGACCAAUGACCUAUGGUGACAUUCUUUGAGAUUUCAGAGGGCAGCAAUGGCACAAACAAGGGGUCGGUCCAAGGAACUCUGAAGGCCGGAUGCCUGAGUGUUUGCAAGGGCAGGUGUUAACAACAAGUAAUCAAGUCAGAAUUCCUAGACACAGCAACCUCCGGAUGAACUGCUCCUUUCCCAAAUGCAGAACACUCAGCUGACAGGCAGGAGUAGAGAAAGCCACCCAGAAUCAGGAAAACACAGCCUGAAGCUCCCGCCUGUGCAUCUCACUUUUGGCUCUCUGGUGAUUCGCUGGGACCUCCAGACUGCCAUUUUCCAUCCAUAGGACCCAGUGGCCAGCAGCCACUACUACAGGACAAGCAUUCAGCUCCCAGUCACAUCCUUUGUACCUCAUAGACACACUUUCUUUGUAUCACACCAGGGCACUCAGUCAAGCACUGUGCCUCAGAGCCCCAGUGGGAAAUCCCAGUCCCUUCUUGGAUGAGAGGUAGGUGGCGGUGUUUGAAUACACACACAUGAUCAUGCAUGCACACACGAUCAAGAGUCAUUGAGAACCAGUUUGAAAGAUCUCCCUAGGUGGUGGUGAGUUAGGGUCGUGGCUGCAGGCCUGCCUGUGGGGUCAUCUGUGCAACUCUCCCUGAAGAGCGAUUGGAGGCAGAUUCUGGUGAAAGAGGGAGCUGCCUUGAUAAUGGCCAAAUAUUAGUGGCACAUGCACAUAUAAUCAGAGCCUGGGACUCUGCUUCCUCCAUCAGCAAGAGCAGGGUGUAUCUUCCCACCUUCCCCAGCCCUCCUGUUUCCCUCCAACACCUGCCAACCCUCAUCUUUUCUUAUUUUACAUUUGAAUUCUUUUGAGUAUCAUAAAAGCAAUAUUCACAGAAUUAAGAAGUAGUAUAGAAAGAUAUGAAAUAUGAAAGUAUUUUCUCUCCAUUUCUCCACCCCAGGAAUAAACGCUAUUAAUGACUAUGUAUAUAUUUUUUCACAAAACGUUAAUGCUUAUAGAGACAUAAUAUGUGCGUGCAUGUGUGUACGUGUGUGUGUAUGUGUAUACACUCACCUGUAUGCAAAGAUGGAUAUACAGCAGGUCCUUGAAUAAAGUCAUUUCAUUCAAUGUCAUUUUACCAUAACAUUGAUGAGAAAAAAAUAAAAAAACUGAUUCCCAGCUGGGGCCAUCGUCUGUGUGGAGUUUGCAUGUUCUCCCACGACUGCAUGGGUUUUCUCCAUGU